This 1247-nucleotide long non-coding RNA is filed under the name Gallus gallus (chicken). Lineage: Eukaryota; Metazoa; Chordata; Aves; Galliformes; Phasianidae. The record is from RNAcentral.
UGGCGAUGCAGGCGGCUCCGGGCCGGCCCCCGGCGCAGGUACAGUCGGCGGCGCAGGGCUGGCAGGAGGGGGCCGGGGGGGUCCUGGCGGCCGCCAGCCCCCCGCACAGCAGGGAGCAGAGCAGGCACCAGCCCGAGAGGGGCAGCCGCGCCGCGGGGACGCCAUGUUUGCGCUGUGUUCCAGUGUCUCCAUUUCCAAAAGGCAUCUCUUCCUACGGGCAUGGCAUGGCCCCGGCCCGCCUCUCCCCCGGCCCGGCCCGGCCCGGGCCCGGCCGCGCCCCGCGCUCGGCUGCAAUCUGCGCUCCGCUCCGAGCCGCUCCGCUCCUCCCGUGCCGCGGCGCUCAGCGCAUGGCGGGCUCCCCUCGGCGCUGCGGUGCGCGCUGCUCCCGCGGCGGCGCCCGGCCCGGCCCGGCCCCUGGGCUCCGCUCCCCGCGCUGACAGCCCCGGCCCCGCUCCGCUCCGCUCUGCGCUCCGCCCGGGCCGCGGCCCGCAGCCUCCCGCUCCGCCUCCCGCCCGGCGGAAACCCGGCGCCGCUCCAGCCCCUCCGCCCGCCCCCGCGGCAGCCCCCGCCCGGCCCCGGCACCGCUCCCGGUCCAGGCUGCGGCGAAGCCGCGGGUGCGGGGAGCGCUCGGCCCCGCUCGGUGAGGGGUGAACGGGGGCGGCCGGGCUGGGGAACCCCGGCGGAGGGCACUGCUGCGGGGCUGGCGUCUCUUCCGAGGCCACCGCAGCCUUACGGUAUUGGAUCUUGUAAGAGCCGCGUGUUUGGCAUCUGCGGCACGGCAGCCGUUCAGACAGGUUGCCAACGUGAAACACUAUGGCCGGUCCCACGAGGAGGAACCUGGAGUUACCCCAUCUCCUCUCACCCGUGUCCACCUCCUGCCCUGCAGCCAAUACAAGCAUUCCCAGCUGUUAUCCAUGACCCAGAUGACUGCAGCCACCUCCUCAUGCUCUGCUGCCUUUCCUCCAGACAUAAUAUUUUCCUUGCCUGGAAGGCCUGGGGGAGAGGACAGCUGAAAGCCAAAACUUCAUCCUAUGUUAUAUUACAUUUGCCACCACCAAUCUCUGUUCGAUCUUUCUAUUUGAGCAGAGCUCUUUAGGUGACUUCAGAGCAUGAAGCUCGUCUGCUGGUUCACGGUGCUGGUGUGGCAGAGUCAAGAUCUGCACCUGAGACAGACUUCCUCAUACACCAGCUGUUAGAUGUAACACCUCACAGAGAGGGCUGAAAAUUAAAAACAGAGAAGUUGCCAA